RNAcentral lists this ribosomal RNA (98 nucleotides) under uncultured bacterium. RNAcentral describes it as "partial 16S ribosomal RNA". It matches the Rfam family "Bacterial small subunit ribosomal RNA", at positions 1384 to 1482 of the family's 1533-position model. The record is from RNAcentral.
UACACACCGCCCGUCACACCAUGGGAGUUGGUUCUACCCGAAGCCGGUGCGCUAACCGCAAGGAAGCAGCCGACCACGGUAGGGUCAGCGACUGGGUG